RNAcentral lists this long non-coding RNA (798 nucleotides) under Ictidomys tridecemlineatus (thirteen-lined ground squirrel). RNAcentral's name for it is "lncRNA (ENSSTOG00000034830.1)". The record is from RNAcentral. Lineage: Eukaryota; Metazoa; Chordata; Mammalia; Rodentia; Sciuridae.
UUUCACUUCACUGACUAUGGUAGGUUUUUGUGGCCGGAAAGUUUUUCCAGUGGAUUACCCCUGGGACAAGGAGAAGUACAUGUUCUGUAAGAGCUAAAUUGAGAUUGAAGUUCCAAAGUGGCUUAAGGAAGGGGGAAAGUGGGAGUAUCAAGGAAGGUGGUGAAAUAAGGUUGGGAGCAGAGACAGGACUGCAUCGCAGGAGCCCACUCAGAUAGCAGACUCUGCAUCUGGCUCCUCAGCCUCCACUGGGAGCCCCUCAGCAAGACUGUUACGGGGACACAGAAGCAGGUGGAAAACCUCACAAGACUCAGUCAACUCUAUUGGCAUCAUGUCUUGCUCCAAGGACUCAGAUGAGCUUAUUUUCUUUGUGAAUGGAAGAAAACUUCCCUGUGGGAACUCUGAAGUCACUUCUCUGUCGCUGCCUGCCUGGUGCCCAUCUGUUCUCUCUAUGGGGCUGCUGUCACUAUGGUAGAAAGCACAGGAAGCACCAAAAGCAGGAUUCAUCCUGUUCAGGUAAGAGCAUAUUUUAACACUUUUAGGAUAAACAUUGGUUUAGGUAGCUUCUUUAAUUGUCUGGACUUUGGCUUAUAGUUUUAGAGGACACAGAUUGUUGCAGGGACAGAUGAGGCAAGGCACCAAAGAUUCUAGAAAACAGUUUUAUUUGGUUGCAGCCAGGUUCAGAGGGCACAGCUUUUGCUGUAAUCAAUCAAUUCCCUGAACCCUGAGUUCAGGUAGUUUCAGAGUUUUAUACUCAGCAUGUAAGGGGAGGGGCUCAGAAGUUCACAGUCUGCAGAAGUU